This 93-nucleotide transfer RNA is filed under the name Actinoallomurus bryophytorum. Its description in RNAcentral is "tRNA-OTHER". It matches the Rfam family "Selenocysteine transfer RNA". Lineage: Bacteria; Bacillati; Actinomycetota; Actinomycetes; Streptosporangiales; Thermomonosporaceae. The record is from RNAcentral.
GGAGGCGUGAGGGUGCCUGGUGGCCCUCCUGGUCUUCAAAACCAUUGGACGGCGCUCGGCGUCGUCGGCGGGUUCGAUUCCCGUACGCCUCCG